GCCGGGUUGGCGAAAUUGGUAGACGCCCGGGACUUAAAAUCCUGUGGGACUAACCUCCCGUACCGGUUCGAGUCCGGUAUCCGGCACCA
RNAcentral lists this transfer RNA (89 nucleotides) under Clostridiales bacterium. Its description in RNAcentral is "tRNA-Leu". It matches the Rfam family "tRNA". From Rfam's summary of the family: Transfer RNA (tRNA) molecules are approximately 80 nucleotides in length. Their secondary structure includes four short double-helical elements and three loops (D, anti-codon, and T loops). The record is from RNAcentral. Lineage: Bacteria; Bacillati; Bacillota; Clostridia; Eubacteriales.